Molecule: RNA transcript, 2285 nt
Organism: Gossypium arboreum
Lineage: Eukaryota; Viridiplantae; Streptophyta; Magnoliopsida; Malvales; Malvaceae
Exons: 8
Source: RefSeq, a predicted model, not a curated record
AAAGAUAUGAAUUACCGUCGUUUUCAAAAAAACGCCACAAACAUCUCCCUUUACUUUCCCUAAUUCAGAUUAUCCCCAAACGUCUGGUGCCCCAAACUUUGAAUCUCCAAAUCCCCUAAAAUUUUCCCCAAUUUGAUAUCCUCAAAUCGGUUUCCCAAAAUCCCCAAAUCAAAAUACCUUUGAUUUUCGCCGAAGUCCCUUUGAUUUUUUUUUUUUUUCAUUUUCAUUUUCAUUUAUCAUUGAAAGAAAAUAAAAGAGGAAAAAAAAAGUUUUGAUAAACUUGAAGAAGAGAUGGUAAAAUCGUUGAAGCCAGCGUCCUCUGAUGAAGAACUGUACAAUGCUUCGAGUUCAUCGAAGAGGAGCGAAUGAACGCUCAUGUCAACGGCGAAGAAGAUGAUGAGGAAGAGAUUGAAGCUGUUGCUUGUUCCGCCGACGCCUCCGACAAAGAUGAUGGAGCCGUCCAUGAAUAAAACGUCGAUGAUGCUUAUGAUAGCUGUAAAUAUGAGAAUUGGAAUGUAGUCGCUAAGUACUUAACGGAAGAUCUUCCCCUUUUGCUCACUUCCAAGAAUCUAAAAGAUGUUAAUGAUGUAUUAUGUAUGGUAUUUAGAUCAGCACCUUCUAGUUUGAGGGAUUUCAUCAAGUGGAUUACAGAGAUUCGGAGAUAAGAUGAUGGCAGUACCGUUUUAAGUGAAGAUGAGAAAGGAAGGGUUGCACUCAAGAUACCUGGUUGGGCCUUAAAGAGGAGAAGCUACAGGCAGAGAUGAAAGGUCUUACAUCUACAGACUGUCUCCCAACUUUGCUUCAAGAUGAGGACUGAGCAAUGCUUCGUUUACAGUUAUAAGAGAAGUGGUAUGCUAGUCCAGAGGAAAUCAAUGAAGGUGUUUGCACAAUUUUAUCUAAUAUAUACAGUUUGGGUAUGCUGCUUUUUGAGUUGCUUUGUCAAUUUGAAUCUGAGAGAGCACAUGCUGCUGCAAUGUUGGAUCUACGCCAUAGGAUUUUUCCUCCAACUUUUCUAUCAGAAAAUCUCAAGGAAGCUGGAUUUUGUCUUAGACUACUUCACCCAGAACCUUCUUUGCGCCCAACAACCAGGGAUAUCCUACAAUUUGAAGUACUUAAUGGAUUCCAGGAAGUAUUUGCAGAAGAACUGUAGUCAUCCAUUAACCGAGAUGAUACUGAAUCAAAAUUAUUAUUGCAUUUCCUUGGUUUAUCAAAAGAGAAAAAGCAGAAGCAUGCCUCGAAAUUAAUGGAAGAUAUUGCUUGCUUGGAAGCAGAUAUUAAAGAGGUUGAGAAAAGAAGGCACUUUUCUAGAAAACCUUUAACUUACUCUUCCAUCAAUGCGAGGGAAUGUAGGCACCAUAGUAAAGAACCUCCAAUCUCAGAGAUGCAUUCAAGUUUAUACCUGUUUUCCAGUGACAAUGAAAUGAGGUUAAUGAGAAAUAUCAAUCAGCUUGAAUCUACUUAUUUCUCUAUGAGGUCAAGAGUCCCUUUUCAUGAGACCGAUUCUAUGAGACGGCCAGAUAAGGAUUUACUGAAAAAUCAUGACAAUGGGCAUUUGACACAAAACAAUGAAGAAAUAUCGAGUCCUCCUGAUAGCCUUGGAGUAUUCUUUGAUGGUUUGUGUAAGUAUGCUCGAUAUAGCAAGUUUGAAGUCCGUGGGAUAAUGAGAAGUGGGGAGUUCAACAACUCUGCGAAUGUAAUCUGUUCUUUAAGUUUUGAUCAUGAUGAGGAUUAUUUUGCUGUUGCUGGUAUCUCUAAUAAAAUAAAGAUAUUUUAAUUUAAUACACUUUUUAAUGACUCUGUUGAUAUUCAUUAUCCAGUCAUUGAGAUGUUAAACAAAUCAAAGCUUAGUUGUGUUUGCUGGAAUAACUAUAUCAAGAACUAUCUGGCUUCAAAUGACUACGAUGGUCUGGUUAAGGUCAGCUUCCUGUUCUUGGAUGUAUUACACUAGAUUGCAGUCCAAGAACAAUUUGCAGAAGGCACAUAAUGGUUGGCUCGCUCUUACCUCUACAAAUGCAUAUGGGAGGCAUUGCAGCAGCGAAUAAGAAUGAUAUUGAUCAACAUGCAGUUGACACCGUAUGUGCUUUGAAUCCGAAUUCAGGUGUGAGUUUCAGAUAUUUUAUGUGCAAAAAAGUAUUAGAGUGCCAUAUGUUUGUAUGUUAGUUAAGUAGAUUAUAGUUAGAACCUGUAGUAGGAUCAACUAAUUAGUUGAUCAAAAACUACACCCAGUUUUGUAAUAGUCUACUUGCAUAUUUGCAUAUAUUUAAUAAUAAUCUCAUGUCAACUAA